This 1910-nucleotide long non-coding RNA is filed under the name Trifolium pratense (red clover). Its description in RNAcentral is "long non-coding RNA (TPRA_LNC004728)". Lineage: Eukaryota; Viridiplantae; Streptophyta; Magnoliopsida; Fabales; Fabaceae. The record is from RNAcentral.
UUGAACCUCUCUCACAUUUUUCCCAUGAACCAUUCCCUAGAGUCUAUACUUAUCUCACCCAAAUUUCAUUCCAAUAUUAGCAACCGAAUAAAUGUUAUUCAAUUGACAUUAUUUUAAUUGAUUUCAAAUUAUAUAGAUUGAUUCAUUCCCUUAAAUUGACCCUUCCACACAAUAAUUGCUCAUGAAAGGAAUUUAACCACUUUGAAUUGCCACUUGACUAAAAGGGGAAGUCUUGGUAUGUCAUGUUAAUCCGUAAUUAACCGUCAAGCCCCUAAGCCUUGCUAUGUAUUCUUCACCUACAACUCAAUGCCACACAAUUGCCAUAACCUUUUGGUUUGCUACAAUGUUAUCAUUACCUUAGUUAUUAGGAGUUUACUCUUGUUCUACAAAAUAAUAAUCCCUUCUUUCCAUCAUACUCACGCCAUACUCUCCGUCUUUCAGAAGCCUCCAAACAUGAUUUUCUACUAUUUCUCGGUUUACACUUUGAAUAACACAAAUUAGUCUCCUCCAUUAUCUCAAGUGAUCAUCACAAACUUGCCUUUAGCAUCAUCCUUUCCUCCAAUUCGAUUUGUCUUCUCAACACAUAGUUCUUCGUUUUCAACCGUUGAACCGUCGAACCGAACUCUGGAACGAGAGAUAUCUUGUGUGCACUGUAGCUGCGAAUUUAGGCUAGGAUUGUGCUUGGAAGGAAAGAGACUAAGGUAAGACCUCUUUCCCCAUACAUUCAUGCUACAUAGGGAUUUAUUGUGAGAUAAUGGUAGAACCUUUAUCACUUAAAAUAAACCAAAAGAAUCAACUUAUAAAUAUAAAAAAAAAGAAACCAAAAGAACGUGCCUAAUGUAUUAAUAUGAAUGCUGUUUUGGUUCACUAUUUAUAUAUAUGUACAACCUAUUGCUAACCGUAUUUCAAUUUAUCAGUAUGUUUAUAUUGUUAUUUGUUUGCUAUCAAGUGCUAAUUGUGUUGUUGUAUAUGUUUGGAUUUAAGUUGUGUUCAUUUCUUCAUUGUAUGAGUUGCAUAUAAUUUCACAUUUUGAUAUACAAAUAACAUAUGCUGACUUUCAGAUGAUGAUUAUGUUAGAGGACUUGUUUUUAUUACUUAUUGGUAUAAAGAAGGGAAAUGUAGAUAAAAGUAUAGGGAGGACUAAGUAUGUCAUAGGUCGGGUUGGUCAUAUUAAGGAAGUGGAGUUUCAUGCAUCAUAUAGAUGUGUAGAGAAGAGUCUGUUUAGAGCCUGUGUGGCAAGUUUUAGGGCCUGUGUGGCAGAACUUACUUUUAGCCUGUGUGGCAGAACUUAUAUUUUUUUAGCCUGUGUGGCAGAACUUAUUUUUAGCCUGUGUGGCAGAACUUACUAUUUAGCCUGUGUGGCAGAUUUUCUUAUCCGGAUCAUUGUCUCAUAUAGGAUUGUCUUAGUUGCAUUGCAUUGCAUAUAGAAAGGGAGAAAAAAAAUACAAUAGUAUAUAAUUAUUACAGUCAUAAUAAAAACAAAGAAAAAAUAUAGUUAGUCCAUGGUAUAGUGGAGAUCGUUGCCUUCUCCUCUUUCAUUUGAUCUUGACGUGCAAUUUGUAAUAUGUGUAAUUAUGUUGCUUUGUUUAUUACUGCCGUUUAACAAUUAUAUGAUGCCUAUGUUUGUAUAUGUGUACUCUUAUCACCCAAAAGUUUUCAUAAUAAACUAAUAAUUAUAUUUUCGAUAAGGUGAAGUGUUUUUUUAUUAUUUUAUAACAUUUUCUUGUGGUGAGUAUGAUUCAAUGUGGACCAGGAAAUUGACCCAUACAACCAACAUUUUAGGUACUCAAUGAGAUAGCUUUGAUUGAUUGUGAUGUGAUGCUUGAAGCGCGUACGAACGGGGAAAAAUUGGGUUUUGUAAUUUGAGAAUUUUAUGUAAUAAAUAGUUCUUUGUUGUAUUUUCUUCCGCU